RNAcentral lists this ribosomal RNA (627 nucleotides) under Schistocerca lineata (birdwing grasshopper). RNAcentral describes it as "partial 16S ribosomal RNA". The stretch from base 306 to 627 matches the Rfam family "Bacterial large subunit ribosomal RNA", at positions 2048 to 2578 of the family's 2925-position model. Lineage: Eukaryota; Metazoa; Arthropoda; Insecta; Orthoptera; Acrididae. The record is from RNAcentral.
UUAUUUAUUUUAUUAUAUUUAUUUUUUGUUUAUUUAAUUAUUUAAUAAAAAUAAUUUUAUUGAAUUUUGUCUUAGUAUAUUUUGUAGAAUUGAUUUUUUAAAUUAUAGUUUAUUGGUAAUGUARUUGGUUUAUGAAACCUCUUGAAAAUACUUUGAGGUCUGGCCUGCUCMCUGAGCGGAUUUUUAAAGAGCCGCGGUAUUUUGACCGUGCAAAGGUAGCAUAAUCAUUAGUCUCUUAAUUAGUGGCUGGAAUGAAUGGCUUGACGAGAAAUCAACUGUCUCUUAAUAAAUUUUUGAAUUUAACUUUUGAGUCAAAAGGCUUAAAUUUUUCUUUAGGACGAGAAGACCCUAUAGAGCUUAACAUUUUACUUUUAUAUAGUUUUUUGUUUGUCUUUCUAUAUUUAAUGAUGAUGUUUUGUUGGGGUGACAUGAAGAAUAAAUAAACUCUUCAUUAUUAUAUCAUUUAUUUAUGUUUGUUGUUUUGAUCCAUAAUUUAUGAUCAUAAGAUUAAGUUACCUUAGGGAUAACAGCGUAAUUGUUUUUGAGAGCUCCUAUCSACAAAGCRGRKUGCGACCUCGAUGUUGGAUUAAGAAAAAUUUUGGGUGCAGUAGCCCAGUAAUUAGGUCU